AAGGAUCGGCUAACUCCGUGCCAGCAGCCGCGGUAAUACGGAGGAUCCGAGCGUUAUCCGGAUUUAUUGGGUUUAAAGGGAGCGUAGGCGGGCUUUUAAGUCAGUUGUGAAAGUUUGCGGCUCAACCGUAAAAUUGCAGUUGAUACUGGAAGCCUUGAGUACAGUAGAGGCAGGCGGAAUUCGUGGUGUAGCGGUGAAAUGCUUAGAUAUCACGAAGAACUCCGAUUGCGAAGGCAGCUUGCUGGACUGUAACUGACGCUGAUGCUCGAAAGUGUGGGUAUCAAACAGGAUUAGAUACCCUGGUAGUCCACACAGUAAACGAUGGACACUCGCUGUUGGCGAUAUACGGUCAGCGGCUUAGCGAAAGCGUUAAGUGUCCCACCUGGGGAGUACGCCNGCACGGGUGAAACUCAAAGGAAUUGACGGGG
Molecule: ribosomal RNA, 428 nt
Filed under: uncultured Bacteroidaceae bacterium
Lineage: Bacteria; Pseudomonadati; Bacteroidota; Bacteroidia; Bacteroidales; Bacteroidaceae
Description: bacterial SSU rRNA
Rfam family: Bacterial small subunit ribosomal RNA
Source: RNAcentral